This 583-nucleotide unclassified non-coding RNA is filed under the name Hevea brasiliensis (rubber tree). Lineage: Eukaryota; Viridiplantae; Streptophyta; Magnoliopsida; Malpighiales; Euphorbiaceae. The record is from RNAcentral.
GGAAAUGGUGGAUUCAGGGCUUACCCCGGAUGCGAAGACGUUAACGGCAUUGAUCAAGAUUUAUGGGAAGGCAAGGUGGGCUAGAGAUGCUUUGGAUCUUUGGGAAAGAAUGAAGUCUAACGGAUGGCCUAUGGACUUCAUUUUGUACAAUACAUUGUUGAGUAUGUGUGCAGAUCUUGGGUUAGAGGAAGAGGCCGAGACGUUGUUUCAUGAUAUGAGGAGGUCGGAGAAUUGUAGACUUGAUAGUUGGAGCUAUACAGCUAUGCUUAACAUAUAUGGAAGCGUUGGAAAUGCAGAGAAAGCUAUGGCUUUGUUUGAGGAAAUGUCUAAAGUAGGGAUCGAGCUUAACGUUAUGGGAUGCACUUGUUUGGUUCAGUGCUUUGGUAGAGCACAGAGGAUAGAUGAUUUGGUUAAGGUGUUUGAAGUCUCAGUGCAGAGAGGAGUCAAGCCAGAUGACAGACUUUGUGGAUGCUUACUCUCAGUUGUGUCCUACUGCAAGGGCGACGAUGCAGAUAAGGUCCUUGCUUGUCUACAACAAGCUAACCCACGAUUGGUAACCUUUGUCAAGAUGCUAGAAGAUGAG